This 460-nucleotide ribosomal RNA is filed under the name uncultured bacterium. Its description in RNAcentral is "partial 16S ribosomal RNA". It matches the Rfam family "Bacterial small subunit ribosomal RNA", at positions 338 to 795 of the family's 1533-position model. The record is from RNAcentral.
CCUACGGGUCGCAGCAGUGAGGAAUAUUGGUCAAUGGGCGCUAGCCUGAACCAGCCAAGUAGCGUGAAGGAUGACUGCCCUGUGGGUUGUAAACUUCUUUUAUAUGGGAAUAAAGUGCAGUAUGUAUACUGCUUUGCAUGUACCUUAUGAAUAAGGAUCGGCUAACUACGUGCCAGCAGCCGCGGUAAUACGUAGGGGGCAAGCGUUAUCCGGAUUUACUGGGUGUAAAGGGAGCGUAGGCGGCGUGCCAAGUCUGCUGUGAAAGGCCGGGGCUCAACCCCGGGACUGCAUUGGAAACUGGCAUGCUGGAGUGCGGGAGGGGCAAGCGGAAUGCCUAGUGUAGCGGUGAAAUGCGUAGAUAUUAGGAGGAACACCGGUGGCGAAGGCGGCUUGCUGGAUGGUAACUGACGUUGAGGCUCGAAAGCGUGGGGAGCAAACAGGAUUAGAUACCCGAGUAGUC